AUGGAACAGAGGGCCCAAGAGCGACUUAGUGUAGCAGGCUAAAAAAAGAUGUACUUGGCUGAUCAAUACAGCUUCAAACAGUGAUUUCCAAGGGAUGCUGGUUUUGGUUAGAUUUCUCAACCUCCAGUAUCGGGUCUCCAUUUCAGCCCAUUACACAGCUAUGUGCAAGCACAAGACUCCUCAUCAGGCCUUAGAGCUGGAAAUUAACAGAACCAAUGUGAAAUGGCAAGUGUCUAGCCGUCACAGUUGAGAGGAUGAAAACAGAAAACUGCUAUUCCUGUUGCAACAAAAAAAGGGAAUGCCACUGGGUUGAUAGGUUUUUAUCUACAAGACAGCUAAUGCUAUGAACUCA
Long non-coding RNA from Lacerta agilis (Sand lizard), 352 nucleotides. RefSeq lists it as uncharacterized. The record is from RefSeq and is a predicted model, not a curated record. The transcript has 3 exons. Lineage: Eukaryota; Metazoa; Chordata; Lepidosauria; Squamata; Lacertidae.